This is a long non-coding RNA of Numida meleagris (helmeted guineafowl), 2233 nucleotides long. The record is from Ensembl. NCBI's taxonomy places the organism in Eukaryota, Metazoa, Chordata, Aves, Galliformes, Numididae.
UUUUUGGUUUGUUUUGAAAAGCCUUCCUCUUUCGCAGGAACAAAAAUACGUCAUUAUGAACUUAUAGGAGCCUGACUGGAGCACACUCAAAGCAAACCAGGUGUCACGGCGUUAUCUAUGGAUCUGUGUCCGUGACAGGGGGACAGCAGGCCCACAGGCCCACCGGCAUGGAAACAGAGGAGAAAAAAAAGGUGUUGGCAGUUUAGGGGCCGGCUCGGACCAGUCCCAUGGUUAAUGCGGCAGGGGACCCAUGGACCCAUGCUGUGGGGACACAAAGGGAAAAAGGGAAGGGUAGGAAAAUCGUAGACGGGUCUAAAACAAAACAGCAGCACCAAUCUGAGGAGGAAUGUUAAUUUACUAAAUAUUAUAUCGAAAUUGAGGCCAAUAAAUCAAACAGAGAGGGUUCCAAACUGAGAUUCUUACACCAUAAGCUGCUGAGGGACCAUGUGCUUCUCCAUCAGGUAUGAAGAGAAGAGAGUGCUCGGUCUGCCAGGUGGCUUCACCACCCCUUCCAGACACAAAGACUCCUGGGGAGUGCAGCUCCUUCCCCUCCCCCUCGGAGGACCAAACACCCAAAAAAGGCAGUCCCCAGAAACCAGGACAUUAACUCUUUAAAAAUGCUAGUGCUUUACAUGAUGUUAUGAUGUGGAAUACUGACAACAACAAAAAAAAAAAAUCACAAAACCAUGACACCAGGUUGAUAUAAUCUUUCUGUGCCAGGUGUGUGACUAUUUUUUUUUUUUUACCCUAGCACAUGAACAAUGGGUAACUGACACAAUGAAAUUGCUACCUUCAAACAGUUCAAUACAUUUCCAGUUGUUUCUGGGUCAAAGGGCUGCAUUUCCACAAGCUGUUUCAGCUACACUUUGUGAAGUCAGAAUUCUAUUUGACUCUCCUGGAAACUUCUAAAUGGACUUCUUACUGAGUAACACUUCGUUCAGUGAGAUGGAAUAUUCACAAAGCUUCACUAAAUCGUUUACUGCAUACAAGCUGAUUACGUAUCAAAAUAUCACUCAAAGAAUUUUGAGAAGUGUUCAAAUGGAACUCAGAAUGCAGAGGCAGAGCUGGAUAUCUGCCCAUUUUGCAGCAGUUCACCUGGCUCCUCAGCAGCAGGGAGCUGGAAACAAGGACGCGCAAGUUUCCUACCACCUGAGCUCCAGCCUGCCUCUCCCUGGACAGACUCCUGCUCACCAAGGAGCACCAGGAGCCCACAAAGCUGCCACAGGAAGCUGAUCUAAUUCUUUUAGUUUCAUUAGCAUCCCCACUGAUCAACAGCAGCAAAACUGUCAGACCCCUUCAGCUUCACACAGCAGCUGGCAGGGAUCCUGGGGAACACAAAGAGUUUCUUAAGCAAAAUACUAUAUGAUUUUAAUUGUAUAUUCAGAGGGAGAGGAGCCAUUUUGUAACCCAGUUUAGAAUUUUCAUUGUUUUGGGAUGAAAACUGGUGAGUAUAGAAAUUUGCUUUCAACGGCAGCUCUACCAGAACCAACUGAAUCACUCCUAUUUGGAUGCAUCCAUUUACGGCAUUUCCUGCAAAGGAUGAGGAACUGGCUACAAGCUAUACAUUCAGAUCUACACUCAGGGUUUCACCAACAAACCUUUCAGCCAGAGGAGAAGCCCUCCUGUGGUGAACAAGCUUCUCAUAGAAACAGUGGUUAGAUAUGAUCCAAUGAAGUUUAAGAACUAUUUCUCAAACAGACCAGCCCCUGCAUGGGAUGAGCCACAUGGAUACAGGUGAAGCUUAUUCCAAAGCCACCCACACACUGCACAAGGUACUCACUCUGUGGCAAUAGGACACCCUCUUAUUGCAUGUGUGAAGCAAUUAACAUUAUACAGUCCUGCUCUGGACUGAUUUUCCAAUAAGAGCAGAUGGCAUAGUCAAGAAGACUUCAAAAUAGAGUAAUUUAAUAAUCCAAGUAUUUUAGAGAAGAAAGCUUCCUUCAUUUUUAUAAACUUCUGGCCCUUGCAGGACUGAAAGAGUACAUUAUGGAACCACUGUGAGAGAAAAGAAUUUAAAUCUGAUUUUAACAUAGUUGUGCCUGUGUCUAUAUGUAUGAAUAACAUCUCCUCCAUCUUUCAUGAAACAAGGUUUACCUGACUGUGUUCUAAAGCAGUGUGUGAGCACUGUAUGUUGGCCUGCUCACUUGCACGUUGGGUCUUAGCCCAAGAGAGGCUCUUGGGAAAAGCAUACAACACAAAAAGACUAGCUGAAGACUAUCCCACAGCCAAUACA